GACGUGGGAGGCGAGCGUUAUCCGGAGUGAUUGGGCGUACAGCGCGCGUAGGCGGGCCGGGGAGUCGUGCGUGAAAGGUGGGGGCUCAACCCCCAGAGGCCGCACGAGACCCUCGGUCUUGGGCCCGGCAGGGGGCGGUGGAAUUCCACGAGGAGUGGUGAAAUGCGUUGAGACGUGGAGGAACACCGGUGGCGAAGGCGGCCGCCUGGGCCGUGGCCGACGCUGAGGCGCGAAAGCCAGGGGAG
This 245-nucleotide ribosomal RNA is filed under the name uncultured bacterium. RNAcentral describes it as "partial 16S ribosomal RNA". It matches the Rfam family "Bacterial small subunit ribosomal RNA", at positions 524 to 768 of the family's 1533-position model. The record is from RNAcentral.